UAGUUGUGAAUCGACGUUACAUCUGAGUGUUCUAAGCGAACUGUUAAAACUUUCAACAACGGAUCUCUUGGCUCCAGCAUCGAUGAAGAACGCAGCGAAACGCGAUAUGUAGUGUGAAUUGCAGAAUUCAGUGAAUCAUCGAAUCUUUGAACGCACAUUGCGCCUUCCAGUAUCCUGGGAGGCAUGCCUGUCCGAGCGUCGUUUCAACCCUCGAGCCCCCGUGGCCCGGUGUUGGGGACGCUGCCCAGCUACCUGGGCAGCCCCCCUAAAUGCAGUGGCGGUCCCGCAAGUCCCAGCCCUUUGCGUAGUAAUAUCAUUCUCGCUCUGGACGGCUCGCGGGCUUACCAGCCUCGAAACCCCCUACAAAGACCGCCCCGGCGGCAACGGUUGACCUCGGAUCAGGUAGGAAUACCCGCUGAACUUAAGCAUAUCAAUAAGCGGAGGAAUC
RNAcentral lists this ribosomal RNA (448 nucleotides) under Acrostalagmus sp. nc_besc_102d. Its description in RNAcentral is "eukaryotic LSU rRNA". The stretch from base 48 to 201 matches the Rfam family "5.8S ribosomal RNA". Lineage: Eukaryota; Fungi; Ascomycota; Sordariomycetes; Glomerellales; Plectosphaerellaceae. The record is from RNAcentral.